This 217-nucleotide unclassified non-coding RNA is filed under the name rhizosphere metagenome. Its description in RNAcentral is "partial ribosomal RNA internal transcribed spacer region". The record is from RNAcentral.
GUAGGUGAACCUGCGGAGGGAUCAUUACAGAGAACAUCGCCCGCAAGGGUGACUCUCCAACCCUAUGUUAAUUAUACCUUUGUUGCUUUGGCGAGCCGCUUCGGCCACCGGCCUCGUGCUGGUGAGCGCUCGCCAGAGGACCCUAAACUCUGUUUAUUAGUGUCGUCUGAGUACUAUAUAAUAGUUAAAACUUUCAACAACGGAUCUCUUGGUUCUG